UAAUACCGCAUAACGUCGCAAGACCAAAGAGGGGGACCGUUCGGGCCUCUUGCCAUCGGAUGUGCCCAGAUGGGAUUAGCUUGUUGGUGGGGUAACGGCUCACCAAGGCGACGAUCCCUAGCUGGUCUGAGAGGAUGACCAGCCACACUGGAACUGAGACACGGUCCAAACUCCUACGGGAGGCAGCAUG
RNAcentral lists this ribosomal RNA (190 nucleotides) under uncultured bacterium. RNAcentral describes it as "partial 16S ribosomal RNA". It matches the Rfam family "Bacterial small subunit ribosomal RNA", at positions 164 to 353 of the family's 1533-position model. The record is from RNAcentral.